Non-coding RNA from Myodes glareolus (Bank vole), 1566 nucleotides. NCBI's taxonomy places the organism in Eukaryota, Metazoa, Chordata, Mammalia, Rodentia, Cricetidae. The record is from RefSeq and is a predicted model, not a curated record.
AAGGGCCAUGCUCUGAAACACCAGAAGUAAAGAGAAAUCCUUGUUCAUCUCAGUCGAUUUUCUGAGGCCGUUUAUCACAGAGACUAACAGAACAGCUUAGACCAACUUGGAUGAAUAAUUCUUGACUCCUGGAUCCACUAGCAUUUGAAAACCAGUAAUUGAGAUGAAGAGGCACUGUGUGCAUCAAAAUGGAUUCUGACAUAUCCUAGCAUUAUCUCUCCUCCAGAAAGUAUUUCAGCACAGCUUCCAGGAGUGCUACUGUUUAGAAAGUGAACCUGAGCCAACACCGAUGAAAUGCUCACUGCAGUUCUUCUUCGAGGAUCAGAACCCUGUUUGGUAAGGCCUCGGCCUCAGAAGAGUUGCUGUGUGCAUCUUAUCCUUAGAGAUGCUUCCCGUCGUGGGAGGCGAACUCAUCAUAUCACAUCAUCAGACCUGAUUUCCGACUCCAAACUGUACCCACUUCCAGCUUGGUGACCAUGAGAAGGUUUCUCAGAUUCUCUCUCUUGGUUAGACAGUCUGGAGGAAGAUUACUGAUUAACUCUGAGGCCUUUCACAAUUCUGCCACUGUCCUGUGCUGCUAACUGCUGUUUUCACAGAAUCUCUCCCAUCUCUGUAUCCUUUCACCGUGCACAAAAGCACUGUGGUUGAUAUAAAUAAUUAGCCUUUGCAAUAUGAUUAGACUCUUUAGGGGGAAGUCUCUGACUCCCCAAGUAUUUAGAAUUCCAUGUUGUGCACAAUCUCCCCGAGAACAGAUUUUGAGAUAUUCUUGACCUUCCUUAUGCUUCUCUCUGUGUAUAAGGGUUAGUGUCUUCCUCUGGAUUUAAGAAUAACCAGUAGCAAGCCCAACACAUUAAUUUAUGCCUAAAUAUGAUUUGUAGUUAAAAUUUGAAGCGAGAUAAUUAACUGUUCAGUGGAUCUGAUUUUUGAAACUUUAGAACUUCUUUAAAAUUUACAGACCUUGGCAAUUAUCUUAAAGUUUUUUUUUUAAUUUUCACCUUUACUGGAGUGAAUUUAUUUAGAAAUAUGCUAUUUAUAAACUGCAUUAAUGCAAAGUAGAAAUACUUUACAAAAGACUUAUGGUGUAUUUUAGGUGACAUAGUUAUAACACAGCAGCAGCCUUUGCAAACACAUUUGCUUUUAAGUUGCCCCACUGAUUAUAAAUAGCUCACUGAAACUGCUCAGCAAUUAUAUUGAAAUGUGACAUCUCUUUUGAACAAUGAAAAGCAGAUAUAGUUCUUGUUGAUGUUAAAACUGUUCUUCUCUGUAAAUACAUUGUUCUUGAUGUUCAUAAAUUGCUAUGUGCUAUACACAGUGGGAAAAACAUAAAGAGGAAAUGAUCAUCCAUUUUUUAGAAUAGUGGUAGGACUUGAGAAAAAGAAAUUCAAAGUUUGUUUUAAUACAGUAAUAACUGGAGUUUGCUUUUUCAGAAUCAUAAUGACACCCUUAGGCUGUGUCCUAUUUACAAAUCCAUCUUACCUCGCAAAAGCUACUCAUUGAUCCAUCUAUCAAUUUUGUUUUGUACUCUGUAAUAAAUGUUAAACAAAUUGAAUUAUCAAAGGGAAGAAA